CCCGGAGAAUAUUCUGUCCGUCGGCGUUGACGUUUUAAUGGAGCUUUGCGCGCCAUUGGCCCUUGCGUCCUUUGUAGCGGCGCCUCGUCCAAGAGCGCGCAUUCUCUCAGGAAAUCUCCGAUGGACACCGAAAUUUAGGAUCGCGAUCGCGAUGAGUGAUCAGGGGCCGCGGGAUGUCUCGCUCAAGAAUGUGGAGGUCGAUGCUGCUCGAGGGAUGCUCCAGUCCGGAUCGCAUCGAUAUCUGGAUGUCCGAGCUCCCGAGGUCUUCGCAACUGGGAAUGUCGCUGGCUCGCGUAAUGUUCCUUACUAUAUCCCAGGCUCUGACAAAGUCAAGAACACUAACUUCGAGCAAGAGGUUCUUUCUAACUUCGACAAAGAAGAAGGAAUCAUAGUGGGAUGUGGAACUGGAACUCGAUCCGUUUUGGCUGCUGUCGAUCUUCUUGCCGCAGGAUUCACGAAUGUUUACAACAUGGCUGGUGGAUACCGCGCCAUCAAGAACAAGCAGACAGACGACAAAUAGCUUCGCGCGAUGGCAAAGACUCGAAUAAGAUUAAGCGCAGAGAAACGAAUAAUUCCAGCAGGGUGUAGAUCAUCAUCCCUCGACUUGCAUGCGGUGCAUACGCCGAGUUCUCUCUGGACAAAGCAAUUCACGGCACAAACUCUAAGCUUACCAGUUAGCCAAGUAGCUCGCGUUCCGGCAGUCCAUGUUUUGGACGCCGACAUGGCUUCGCAUCACCUCAGGCUUUCGGUUUCUGGGAGCAUUCGGGUAA
Selaginella moellendorffii is the source of this 770-nucleotide RNA transcript. It is a transcript of the gene named thiosulfate sulfurtransferase 16, chloroplastic-like, with no coding region annotated. The transcript is spliced from 6 exons. Lineage: Eukaryota; Viridiplantae; Streptophyta; Lycopodiopsida; Selaginellales; Selaginellaceae. The record is from RefSeq and is a predicted model, not a curated record.